AGGGUUUGAUUAUGGCUCAGGAUGAACGCUGGCGGCGUGCUUAACACAUGCAAGUCGAACGAACCUUCGGGUUAGUGGCGGACGGGUGAGUAACGCGUGAGAAUCUGCCCUCAGGAGGGGGACAACAGCUGGAAACGGCUGCUAAUACCCCAUAUGCCGCGAGGUGAAAUGAAUUUCGCCUGAGGAUGAGCUCGCGUCUGAUUAGCUAGUUGGUGUAGGUAAUGGCUCACCAAGGCAUCGAUCAGUAGCUGGUCUGAGAGGAUGAUCAGCCACACUGGGACUGAGACACGGCCCAGACUCCUACGGGAGGCAGCAGUGGGGAAUUUUCCGCAAUGGGCGAAAGCCUGACGGAGCAACGCCGCGUGAGGGAUGAAGGCCUCUGGGCUGUAAACCUCUUUUAUCAAGGAAGAAGAUCUGACGGUACUUGAUGAAUAAGCCACGGCUAAUUCCGUGCCAGCAGCCGCGGUAAUACGGGAGUGGCAAGCGUUAUCCGGAAUUAUUGGGCGUAAAGCGUCCGCAGGCGGCCCUUCAAGUCUGCUGUUAAAAAGUGGAGCUUAACUCCAUCAUGGCAGUGGAAACUGUUGGGCUUGAGUGUGGUAGGGGCAGAGGGAUUCCCGGUGUAGCGGUGAAAUGCGUAGAUAUCGGGAAGAACACCAGUGGCGAAGGCGCUCUGCUGGGCCAUCACUGACGCUCAUGGACGAAAGCCAGGGGAGCGAAAGGGAUUAGAUACCCCUGUAGUCCUGGCCGUAAACGAUGAACACUAGGUGUCGGGGGAAUCGACCCCCUCGGUGUCGUAGCCAACGCGUUAAGUGUUCCGCCUGGGGAGUACGCACGCAAGUGUGAAACUCAAAGGAAUUGACGGGGGCCCGCACAAGCGGUGGAGUAUGUGGUUUAAUUCGAUGCAACGCGAAGAACCUUACCAGGGUUUGACAUCCUGCGAAUCUCUUGGAAACAGGAGAGUGCCUUCGGGAACGCAGUGACAGGUGGUGCAUGGCUGUCGUCAGCUCGUGUCGUGAGAUGUUGGGUUAAGUCCCGCAACGAGCGCAACCCACGUCUUUAGUUGCCAGCAUUUAGUUGGGCACUCUAGAGAGACUGCCGGUGAUAAACCGGAGGAAGGUGUGGAUGACGUCAAGUCAUCAUGCCCCUUACAUCCUGGGCUACACACGUACUACAAUGCUACGGACAAAGGGCAGCAAGUUCGCGAGGACAAGCAAAUCCCAUAAACCGUGGCUCAGUUCAGAUCGUAGGCUGCAACUCGCCUACGUGAAGGCGGAAUCGCUAGUAAUCGCAGGUCAGCAUACUGCGGUGAAUACGUUCCCGGGCCUUGUACACACCGCCCGUCACACCAUGGAAGUUGGCCACGCCCGAAGCCGUUACUCCAACCCUUGUGGAGGAGGACGUCGAAGGUGGGGCUGAUGACUGGGGUGAAGUCGUAACAAGGUAGCC
RNAcentral lists this ribosomal RNA (1446 nucleotides) under uncultured bacterium. RNAcentral describes it as "bacterial SSU rRNA". It matches the Rfam family "Bacterial small subunit ribosomal RNA". The record is from RNAcentral.